Molecule: long non-coding RNA, 6917 nt
Filed under: Aquilegia coerulea
Lineage: Eukaryota; Viridiplantae; Streptophyta; Magnoliopsida; Ranunculales; Ranunculaceae
Description: long non-coding RNA (ACOE_LNC001734)
Source: RNAcentral
UUAAUCUCAGCGCACAGUCUCUUCAUCCGUCGUUAUCAAUUGAUUUGAACCAGAGUAUGACAUACCCUAAAUUUAAACUCUCUUCCCUUUUAAUUCUCUUCUCUUUCAUCUCUCCCAAUUCCACCACCAGCAGCAGCAGAGGAUUCCACAUCUUGUGAUAGUAAUCAAACCUUUAUACGAGCAAGUCAUCCAAUUACUCAAAUAUCAACAUCUUAAAUCCAAUCAGACUAAUCAAAAACAACAAAAUUACUCACUAAAUUGACAAACUUUUGCUGUAGAUUCACUUCAAAUCCAAUUUCCCAAACCUAAACAAAAUACCCAUUUCAUCAAAAUCCCAAAAAAACAUAACUAACAAUCAAAAUACCCAUUUCAUCCAAUUUAAGUUUCUUCUCUUUCAUCCUAAUCUUUUGAUAACUAACAAAUAAAGAAUCUUCUCUCUUCAGGAAAAGCUCUCAUAAUCUUCUCUCUGAUUCAAAAGCUCUUAAUUGAAGGUAUGCUUAUCCAAGUUUUUAAAUUUAAUUUUGAUUACUGCUGCUAUUCCCAAAUUUAAUUUUGGCUAAAAGAUAUACAAAUUUCUUAACAAAAAAUAUCAAAUAGCCGGAAUAUUUGAUUCUAAUUCAGUAAUGGUUGUUGUGAUGUUAUCUUAGGCUCUUUUUUAAUUAAAUUAAAGUUCUUCAAGAAUUAAAUGUGCUUAGUUCCUCUCCAAUUAGUAAUUUGGCAGGGCUACAAACUUUAAUCUACAGACUAUCAAACAUAUUCAGAAACUGGAGUUUUUGUGAAUUUUGAUCUUGCAUUGAGUUUUGCGAGUGUCCUGUUAUUGUGUUUUAAUCUACAGACUAUCAAACAUAUUCAGAAACUGGAAUUUUCUGAAUUUUGAUCUUGCAUUGAGUUUUGCGAGUGUCCUGUUAUUGUGUUAGUAUAACACAAUCAAACAUAUUCAGGUUUUGGCUAUAGACUUUAAUCUACAGAAGUUCUAUUGUUUCAGGCUUAAAAAGUGACUGUAAGGAUAUGUGCUCUUAACAAACUGGAAUCUCUUAAAAAGCUGAAAUCUCAAGUAAUGUACUUGAGAAAUUUAUUCAAAUUCUAAUUGAUCAAUUGUAAUAUUUUAACUCAAUGGGAACUAAUUUGUAAUAUUCUCAAGUAAUUGUAUUUUCCAAUUACCCUCCAUCUUCUCAAUGGAUAACUAGAACUACCAUAAGAUAUACAGUAUUUCUUAUUUUUGUUCUUUAAAAGAUGUGAUAAAAACAUUUAAAUCAUACAAAUACUGUAACAGAUAACAAUUUCACUUCUUAUAUCUGGUUUUUACUUUUCGGAACUUAAUAUGUAUGAACAACAAUGUCCAUAUCUAAUACACUUACUCGGGUUUGUAGAGGAGAUCCAAUAAUGAAAAUAAGUUCUUAGGCGCAACCCUACAAUGGUCGUUUAGCUACUCAAUGCAUGUGCUCAGUCUGCCUUUUCAUCACCAACAGUCCAAUAUAAAUUGGGAAAAGCUGAGUUAAAUGGAAAUUUGAAUUACAUAUUGUGAGAGAAAAGAAACAGCAAACCAGCCAAAAACCUUUGAAUGCAUUGUUGCUUUGUUCUGAAGCAAGGAGUGAAGUGAGCUAAUCUCUUCUUCUUUGGAUCAAAUUCAAUUCUGUGGUCUCCAGUAUAGGUAAACACUCUAAAUUUCCAUCUACUUUUUGAGUUUUUGGUUUUAAGUAAUCUCUUUCUUUCUUGAUAAGUGUACUUGAUUGAAUUGAUUUUUUUUUUUUUUUUGUUGUUGCUGCGGUUUCCUGUAAAUAAUAUUACUUGGAUAUGCUGAAUUAUUGAUCCCUUCCUAUUUAUGCAGUGAGCAACUCGUGAUAUAUAUCACUGCUUCAAAGGACUCCUCUUUGGAUGGUUCUAAGUGGAUCACAAAAGCAGAUUCUGAGGUAUGUAGUGCCUGCUACAGAUGUAUGUGGUUUGUGUUUUAUUCUUUAUUUUUGUAGUAGUAAUUGUGUUUGGUAAUGUAAAGUAUAUAAUUUGCAUAGUUUACCUUUAAUUUGUCAAAAGAAAGAAACCUAACAGUGGGCAAGGUCAAUAGGUAGAGAAUCUGGUUUGAAUUAGAACAAUAAGAUGAUUUAAAUUGUAUUAUAAUGACAUUUUGGUAUCUGAUAUUUUUUUUUACUAACCAAUAGUUCAUAUUAUUUAUAUGUGGGAUGUAACUGUGUUGUGAAUUUUUAUCUCAAUGCUAAGAUUUUUAUCUCAAUGAUACUUUGCUAUAUGGCUUGUUAUUACUCAUUGUCCAACUUUGUGUGGUACCACCUUUGACCUUUCUAAGAAAACGGUAACAGUUGGGUAAAUUUUGUAGGGUUGUUUUUUAGUGUGUUAACGUUAUUAUAUUUUUAACUGUUGUUGGACUGAUAUUUGAAAUGCCAAUAUAAUUUGUUCUAGCGACUGAGAAGGAGAGGCCACCAUCCAUUAUAGAUGUGAACUCUGAAUCUAGGUCAGACCAAACUUUGAUGAUGGCUUAGACAAGGCUAAUCUACGAAAAUGACCAAACUUUGAUGAUGACUUUGACAAGGCUAAUCUGAGAAAAUGGCUGGUUCUGACAGAACACGUUGUUGAUAUGCUAAAUAGUAUAUUGACUACAUUGUGAGAUAGACUUAAAAGAAUGGUUUCAAAUCUUUGUUGAGUGUGAAAUAAGGUCAUUCAUAACCGUAGUAUGAUCAUCUCAUCUACUCUCCUUAUAUUAUUCAAUUUCUAUAAGAUUUGAGUCUAUUGAAUCAUUGUUCAAAUUUCAAACUUUAUCCUUUUGUAUCUGUCUACUAAUUCCAACUUUGAAAUUUCAAAUCACCUAAAAUUUGUCUUCUCCCAAUUGGGAGUCUAUUUUGAUAAAAUUGGCUAAUUGGUAUAAAGUUGUAACUCACUUUGAUGUUGCUGGGUAGAAUUUUAAGUUUGGUUCUUGUUAUAUCAAUCCUUUAAGACAAAGUAUGGUCAAAUUUUAUUCUUAAAAAAAUACAAUUUUAUUUUGUUGUUACUAAUUGUUUGUUUGUUUAUUUCUAGGUAAAUUCGCUCGCACAAGUUGAUAUUAAACAAGUUAGCUUGCACCAACAUAACUGUCUGUGAUUUUGGAGAUUCAGGUUGGUGAUUUCCAAUCACACGGAGGUGAUCAUCCAUUAGUAUCAAUCAAUUAAUAGAGUAAUCAUCAGGUCAUCUCUCUCUCUCUCUCUCUCUCUCUCUCUCUCUCUCUCUCUUCAUCAUCCAUUAGUAUCAAUCACCAAAUUUUAAACAUUACACCCACUAUCAGAUUAUAAUUGCUAUUAAUUAUAAAUAUAUAUUUUUUUAGUCAAUAAAUUAUCAAUUAAUUAUGAAUACUGAUGAUGCUCUUCAAACAAGUUGGAGAGCAGAUGGAUGGCCAUUAUUUUUUAAUCAUAUUACCAAUAGCUUUUCUUCAGACCUGACGAGUACAUACCCCAUUUGGAAAAUUAGAGGAGUUUGCCAUCAGGAGCUAACUCUGUUACCUGUCCACAUGCACGCCCAUCUUAACAUCGUUUCCUUAAAAAUGGUUUUCCCGAUUAUCACCAUCAAUAAUUUUUGACAUCACAUCUCCACUACCUGACAAUAACUUAUUCACAUUCCAUGCAACUGUGUUAUUGUGAUGUUGGCAAUUUAUAUUAAGAGAUGGUGUAAUCUACUGAUGAAUCGAAGAAUUCUAAAUGUUAUGAGCAUGUAAUGCCACAUUGGUUGCAUGUGCGACAAUUUUUGACUGGUUUUGUCGGGUCCAAGAAAUUUAAAAAAUAUUCUAAGAAUUCACUGAUGACUGAACGUGAUGACUGCCCUCCAUAAGUGUCUUCUUUUUGUUUGGGUUUUGCUUACUUUCGUUAAUAAAAAUGAAUGUCUACUUGAGUCUUAAAAUUUUGGGUAUGAUCAAUAUACUGAUUUUUUAAAAUAACAAUUUUAUGCUUGCUAUAAUAUCAUCCAAAAACUAGAAACUAAUUAACACGAAAAUAAAGUAACAAGGGCCAUUACCUAAACAUCUUACUAAACCACAAUCUCUCCUCGUUCACUUCUUAUAUUCAAUAUUAGUAAUGAAAAUUAUUACAACUAAUAACACCAUUUGGUUGAUACUAGCGUGGCGAAGCCACGGGUACAACUAGUAUAUAUAUAUAUAUAUAUAUAUUAAUAAAAACAUAAACUGAUAAACCAAUAAUACAUUAAUACUUACUUUGUAGACUAUCAAAAAAAUUAUUAGCCAAAAAUCAAAUUAAAAAGAACUUUUCGAAAUUCACUAUGAAUAAAUAACACCAAGUUAGAACAAUUAAAAAAAUUUAAUAUAUUAAAAACCUACAAUCAUCUUAAUUUAUAAAUACAAUUAUACAAAUACAAUAAAAAAAAGGAUUGAUAAGAAAUUACCUUAGAAAAUUGAAAUUUGUAGAUAGAUCUUUGGUUAUAAUUGAAAAAGUAGGAAAAAAUAACAAUCUAGGAGCAGCCGACCAACAGUAAAGUAGUAUAGGAGCUUUGUUUUUUUUCGUGUAUUUUUCCUAAAGAAAAACUAAAUAAAAAAAAAAAGAGGAAAGAGAACAUUCAAUCCCGUAUUUUUUUUUUUUUUUUUUCAUUUUUAGCAAAUAUCUAAUCCAUAUCUAAGAGACUAAGAUAUUUCCUAAUAUUAAGGAUUUGCUGUUGAUUCAGUUAGUUAGAAUAUUAGGAGUAUAUUCUUGAAAAUCCUUAAAUAUACUCGCCCCUGCUAUAUCAAUCAUCCCGGGCUUAAGCCCUCUAAGCCCACUCUAUCAUCCGCCCCUGAAAAUUACUGUAUGACAUAGAUGACUGAUUAGUUUAAUGUCUAAUAAUUAAUAAUAACUAAGUGAAAUGCAUGUCCAUUGGACGAUUCGGGUGGGUAAUUUUUAUUUUUAGCCUUGUAUUUUAUACUUUCAGUGAAUGACAAAAAGUUGCAAAAAUAUAUCGAGUUUGCAACCAUGAAAAUUUUAGGUGUGUAUUGUGUAGGUUAAUCCACUGCUACUUGUAAUAAAUAAAUAAAAAGCAUAAACUUAGAUAACAAAACUUCCUACAGUAAAGUAAAGAAUAAAUAUUCUUAUGUAACAAUCGUAAUCGUUGAACAUAAUAUAAGAGUUUAGAGAAACAACAUCACUUCAAAAUUCAGCAUUUAAAAAAAAAAAUAUAUAGAAAUACAAUCGCUUAAAUAAAUUUAAAAUUUUAAGUUGAAACUAACAUCAAGUAAAUCUUUAGUGAUUAAGCAAGAAAUUAUUAAACGCCUUGAUUACUUGUGAGUUUUACUUUCAAUUAUUACAAUAGUUUUAUCAAAAGUUCAAAUUUAAAGUAGAAAGAGAUAGACGGGGAGAAGAUGAGAGAGAACAGAAGAAAGGAGAUAUAAGUCUCUUCGAUUUUAUUUCUUGAAUUUGAUAACCACCCAGUUAGUUUCCUAGUCUGUAGGCAACUAAAUUAUAAAGUUUAUCUACUUAUAAUGAAAUUACUUUGAUAACCCUAAAAAUAAAUCAAAUUAAAGAAGUGAUAUUUGAUUUUGUUAAAAGAGGAGAAAAAGUUUUUGGAUAUGAUUUCAACAUAAGGAAAAAAACACUACUCCUACGUUAUAGAAUAGAAUUAGAGAUGAAUGAAUUAAUUGAGGACGAAUUUGUCAAAACCACACUGAACAUAAGCGAAUUUGCAUAAACCCCACCAAACAAAUAAAAUUUGAGAUAACACUACUCUGUUCCCCAUUCUGUUAACUAAACGUUGAAUACGGUCAAUGGGUAAAAUGAUUGUAAUACCCAGAUGAUGUCUGGAAGUUUGAUUCAUCAAUGGUGUUCUUCUUCGUUUCUAGAACUUCAAUCAUCGAUCUCACCUCUUACCAACAAUUGCAAAAACAGAGUUAAAAACCAAGGAAUUAGCAAAAAGAAAAAGAUAUGGAAUCGAAUUCAAACAAGCAGUCACAAUUAUCAAAACAAAAACAGAGUUAAAAACCAAGGAAUUAGCAAAAAGAAAAAGAUAUGGAAUCGAAUUCAAACAAGCAGUCACAAUUAUCAAAACAACCAAAAACAGAAGAACAAUUAGAAUUGAAAACGUGAUUGUAAACCAACCAGUUAAAUCGAAAUAGAGGGCGAAAGAGAGAAAAAAACACGAAGAGUGAAAAGGAAGGAGAAAGAUGGAGAACAAUUUAGUAAAUCCAAACCAGAAUUGAAGCAGAAAAACUUACCCGCAAGUUCAAUUACACUAGAAGAAGAGAAAAAACAAGAGAAAGAAAUAAAUAGUAGAAGAAGUAGAUGAAAAACAAGCAAAAUGAGAGCACAUAUCAUAGAAAGGUGGUAUAUGGGAGGAGAUUUUGGCUGUCAUGAAUCCUAGACAGUUACAGCUUGUUUGAAAUUCGAAAUCAAAACCUUUCGCAAACCCCAAAACCAAGUGAAGAUACACAUGAAGAAGAAGAAAAUAAACGAUUUUGGAAUUCUUGAUGUUGUUAGUUAUAAAUAUUGUUCUUAGUUCUUAAUACAAAGAAUUUUAUCAAAUAAACUUUUUUAGUUCUUAAUCAUGAUUUUCAAGGUUUUGGUUUUUUUUUACCUGAUUAAAUUUUGGGCAAUUUUUUACAGACGGGAGAAUUACCAAAGAGAAACCUUCACGAUCUUCCAUCGAGUUCAGGCAAUACCAUUACACCAGUGAGGAAAUUUAGAAUUACCAGUGAGGAAGGCGAUCCAGUGAGGGAGAUGAUCUAUUAUAACCAAAGGGUUAAAAUGGGUAUUUAAACCUUAAUAUUAUCUUUCUAUUUCUCUGUCCUAAUUAGUAGAUGUUUAACUAACAAAAUGGAUAACAAAGUAGUGUUAUCUCAAAUUUUAUUUUUUUGGUGGGGUUUGCUGCAAAUUAGCCUACGUUCGAGUGUGGUUUUGACCAAUUCCCACAUUAAUUAACAAUAUAAAACUAUGACUAGCUAUGGACCCCGUGCUACGCACCGG